Molecule: ribosomal RNA, 465 nt
Filed under: uncultured bacterium
Lineage: Bacteria
Description: partial 16S ribosomal RNA
Rfam family: Bacterial small subunit ribosomal RNA
Source: RNAcentral
UUCCAGACUCCUACGGGAGGCAGCAGUGAGGAAUAUUGGUCAAUGGGCGCGAGCCUGAACCAGCCAAGUAGCGUGAAGGAUGACUGCCCUACGGGUUGUAAACUUCUUUUAUAAAGGAAUAAAGUGAGGCACGUGUGCCUUUUUGUAUGUACUUUAUGAAUAAGGAUCGGCUAACUCCGUGCCAGCAGCCGCGGUAAUACGGAGGAUCCGAGCGUUAUCCGGAUUUAUUGGGUUUAAAGGGUGCGCAGGCGGAUUUUUAAGUCAGCGGUCAAAUCGUGGGGCUCAACCCCAUCCAGCCGUUGAAACUGGGGAUCUAGAGUGUGCGAGAGGUAUGCGGAAUGCGUGGUGUAGCGGUGAAAUGCAUAGAUAUCGCGCAGAACCCCGAUUGCGAAGGCAGCGCACCGGCGCCCUACUGACGCUCAGGCACGAAAGCGUGGGUAUCGAACAGGAUUAGAUACCCGUGUA